Molecule: small RNA, 54 nt
Filed under: Caenorhabditis elegans
Lineage: Eukaryota; Metazoa; Nematoda; Chromadorea; Rhabditida; Rhabditidae
Description: Unclassified non-coding RNA Y116F11B.21
Source: RNAcentral
CUCAGGCUUAGGCUUAGGCUCAGGUUCAAGCUCGAGCUUAGUCUUAGGCUUAGG